ACGCUCGACACCUACGGGAGGCAGCAGUGGGGAAUAUUGCACAAUGGGGGAAACCCUGAUGCAGCGACGCCGCGUGAGGGAAGAAGGUUUUCGGAUUGUAAACCUCUGUCCUUGGUGAAGAAGGAAGACGGUAGCCAAGGAGGAAGCCACGGCUAACUACGUGCCGGCAGCCGUGGUAAUCUGAGGCGGGCUGGCAAGGC
Molecule: ribosomal RNA, 200 nt
Filed under: uncultured bacterium
Lineage: Bacteria
Description: partial 16S ribosomal RNA
Rfam family: Bacterial small subunit ribosomal RNA
Source: RNAcentral